This is a regulatory RNA element of Parabacteroides sp., 99 nucleotides long. It matches the Rfam family "TPP riboswitch aptamer (THI element)". From Rfam's summary of the family: Vitamin B(1) in its active form thiamin pyrophosphate (TPP) is an essential coenzyme that is synthesised by coupling of pyrimidine and thiazole moieties in bacteria. The previously detected thiamin-regulatory element, thi box was extended, resulting in a new, highly conserved RNA secondary structure, the THI element, which is widely distributed in eubacteria and also occurs in some archaea. Lineage: Bacteria; Pseudomonadati; Bacteroidota; Bacteroidia; Bacteroidales; Tannerellaceae. The record is from Rfam.
ACAUAAACAAAGGGGUGCCACUCCAUAAAGUGUGCUGAGAUUAUACCCUUCGAACCUGACGCGGAUAAUGCCGCCGAAGGGAUUGUUUUCCAUCCCGGU